Molecule: ribosomal RNA, 421 nt
Filed under: uncultured Gammaproteobacteria bacterium
Lineage: Bacteria; Pseudomonadati; Pseudomonadota; Gammaproteobacteria
Description: bacterial SSU rRNA
Rfam family: Bacterial small subunit ribosomal RNA
Source: RNAcentral
CUUAACCUGGGAAGUGCAUCGCAAACGAUACAACUGGAGUAGAUGAGAGGGUGGCGGAAUUUCCGGUGUAGCGGUGAAGUGCGUAGAGAUCGGAAGGAACGUCGAUGGCGAAGGCAGCCACCUGGCGUCAUACUGACGCUGAGGCGCGAAAGCGUGGGUAGCGAACAGGAUUAGAUACCCUGGUAGUCCACGCUGUAAACGAUGAGGACUAGAUGUCGGUAGGGGAACCUAUCGGUAUCGAAGUUAACGCGAUAAGUCUUCCGCCUGGGGAGUACGGCCGCAAGGUUGAAACUCAAAGGAAUUGACGGGGGCCCGCACAAGCGGUGGAGCAUGUGGUUUAAUUCGAUGCAACGCGAAGAACCUUACCUACCCUUGACAUCCUGGGGAUCCUGCAGAGAUGCGGGAGUGCCGAAAGGAACCU